Molecule: ribosomal RNA, 494 nt
Filed under: uncultured bacterium
Lineage: Bacteria
Description: partial 16S ribosomal RNA
Rfam family: Bacterial small subunit ribosomal RNA
Source: RNAcentral
GACGAACGCUGGCGGCGUGCUUAACACAUGCAAGUCGAACGGUGAAGCGCCUUCCUUUUUGGUGGGUGUGGAUGAGUGGCAAACGGGUGAGUAACACGUGAGUAACCUGCCCCCUUCUUCUGGAUAACCGCAUGAAAGUGUGGCUAAUACGGGAUAUUCUGGGUCUGUCGCAUGAUGGGUCUGGGAAAGAUAUUGUUUCGGUGGGGGAUGGGCUCGCGGCCUAUCAGCUUGUUGGUGGGGUGAUGGCCUACCAAGGCGGUGACGGGUAGCCGGCCUGAGAGGGUGGACGGUCACACUGGGACUGAGACACGGCCCAGACUCCUACGGGAGGCAGCAGUGGGGAAUAUUGCGCAAUGGGCGCAAGCCUGAUGCAGCGACGCCGCGUGAGGGAUGGAGGCCUUCGGGUUGUGAACCUCUUUCGCCAGUGAAGCAGGCCUGCCUCGUUUGUGGGUGGGUUGACGGUAGCUGGAUAAGAAGCGCCGGCUAACUACGUG